Non-coding RNA from Nitrospirae bacterium GWA2_42_11, 339 nucleotides. The record is from Rfam. NCBI's taxonomy places the organism in Bacteria, Pseudomonadati, Nitrospirota.
AAAGCGGUACGAGAGUUGGGUUCAGAACGUCGUGAGACAGUUCGGUCCCUAUCUGUUGUGGGCGCAGGAUAUUUGAGAGGAUCUGUCCCUAGUACGAGAGGACCGGGAUGGACGGACCUCUAAUGUGCCAGUUGUCGCGCCAGCGGCAGUGCUGGGUAGUUAUGUCCGGAUGGGAUAACCGCUGAAGGCAUCUAAGCGGGAAACCCACCUCAAGAUGAGAUAUCCCUCUGCGAAAGCAGACUAAAGGCCCCUGGUAGACUACCAGGUUGAUAGGCUGAAUGUGUAAGCACAGUAAUGUGUUUAGCUAAUCAGUACUAAUAGGCCGUGAGGCUUGACCNN